AUUGAACGCUGGCGGCAGGCCUAACACAUGCAAGUCGAGCGGAUGAAGGGAGCUUGCUCCUGGAUUCAGCGGCGGACGGGUGAGUAAUGCCUAGGAAUCUGCCUGUUAGUGGGGGAUAACGUCCGGAAACGGGCGCUAAUACCGCAUACGUCCUGAGGGAGAAAGUGGGGGAUCUUCGGACCUCACGCUAUCAGAUGAGCCUAGGUCGGAUUAGUUAGUUGGUGGGGUAAAGGCCUACCAAGGCGACGAUCCGUAACUGGUCUGAGAGGAUGAUCAGUCACACUGGAACUGAGACACGGUCCAGACUCCUACGGGAGGCAGCAGUGGGGAAUAUUGGACAAUGGGCGAAAGCCUGAUCCAGCCAUGCCGCGUGUGUGAAGAAGGUCUUCGGAUUGCAAAGCACUUUAAGUUGGGAGGAAGGGCAGUAAGUUAAUACCUUGCUGUUUUGACGUUACCAACAGAAUAAGCACCGGCUAACUUCGUG
This 484-nucleotide ribosomal RNA is filed under the name uncultured bacterium. RNAcentral describes it as "partial 16S ribosomal RNA". It matches the Rfam family "Bacterial small subunit ribosomal RNA", at positions 30 to 507 of the family's 1533-position model. The record is from RNAcentral.